RNAcentral lists this ribosomal RNA (446 nucleotides) under uncultured bacterium. Its description in RNAcentral is "partial 16S ribosomal RNA". It matches the Rfam family "Bacterial small subunit ribosomal RNA", at positions 338 to 795 of the family's 1533-position model. The record is from RNAcentral.
CCUACGGGUGGCAGCAGUCGAGAAUCAUUCACAAUGGGGGAAACCCUGAUGGUGCGACGCCGCGUGGGGGAAUGAAGGUCUUCGGAUUGUAAACCCCUGUCAUGUGGGAGCAAAUUAAAAAGAUAGUACCACAAGAGGAAGAGACGGCUAACUCUGUGCCAGCAGCCGCGGUAAUACAGCGGUCUCAAGCGUUGUUCGGAAUCACUGGGCGUAAAGCGUGCGUAGGCUGUUUCGUAAGUCGUGUGUGAAAGGCCCGGGCUCAACCCGCGGAGGGCACAUGAUCCUGGGAGACUAGAGUAAUGGAGGGGGAACCGGAAUUCGCGGUGUAGCGGUGAAAUGCGUAGAUAUCGAGAGGAACACUCGUGGCGAAGGCGGGUUCCUGGACAUUAACUGACGCUGAGGCACGAAGGCCAGGGGAGCGAAAGGGAUUAGAUACCCCUGUAGUC